UUGUUUACCACUGGAGUUGUCGCUUUUCUU
This 30-nucleotide non-coding RNA is filed under the name Rattus norvegicus (Norway rat). The record is from RNAcentral. Lineage: Eukaryota; Metazoa; Chordata; Mammalia; Rodentia; Muridae.